UGAUAGAGACUAAGAAAUUUUCUGUGACGUGGCCAACAAGGAAGGCAAUAGUAAUAAUUAGCUUGAAAACAAAUUACAAGGUUGCCAGAACCGUGACUCUUCUGCUACUAUUGCUAGCCGACACACAAAAAACAUAUUUACGAUAAAGUGAAAGUACCGUACCUGUCAAAAAGAUAAAGAAGUCUGAAAGGAUGGCAGAAGCAUCAUAUGCUGUGGAUGAAAGAAAGUUUCCAGGAUGGCUUUAUAUUAUUAUGAAGGUAAGGGGACUGAAAGUAAAGACAGAAGGAGGAUGGUUAGGAGCACUCCUUGGAAAGAAAAAAAUUGCUACAAAUGCACAUAUUGAAGAGCCAGAAUUUGGUGUAAGGACAGUAACAGUAAAAGUAGUUGGUAAAGGUGAUUUAUCUGGUACCAAUACAGAGUUGGCCAUAAAGCAACUGCCGUUGGAUAUCGUACCGUCCAGCUGCUAUAUAGAGCCAGAGGAUAAUCGGAUUUUGGUUUAUCUUAAGAAGGCAGACAGUAAACAAUCCUGUAAAACCUAUAUGGAAGGCAGUGGUAUUGAAACAGAUUAUUAAAACCUUUCUAUGGUAUAAAUAAUGGUUAUAUUGAAUAUAUAUGGAAAAUAUAUAUAUAUAGUAUAAUCUUUUAUGGUUUUUUUCUUAUUUUAAAGAGGGAUGCAUAUAAAAAAAAUCUGUAAUGAAAGUAUAGUUUUUUUAAAUAUAUGUAAUAGACCAAUAUUGAAAAUUAUUUAGUUUUUGUCACAAUAUGUUAGAGUAAGAUUUGAAAAGCAUAAAUAAUGUACAAUUUUUGUCAGUAAAUGAAUUAAUUAUAUCUUUAUAUAGAUUUGGAUAUUUCAUUUUUUCAAGGUUUAAUUAUCUUAUAUUGUCACAGAAACUUUUAUUACAAGGCAUUGUAUUUCUAUACUUUGAAGGCUUGUAGAUUUUCAGAUUUAUUUUUUAAAGUGCUCAAUAUCAAUUUCUUUUUUAUACGCCCACAUUUAAAUGUGGUCGUAUAUUGUCGUCGCCCCCGUCCGUCCGUCCGUCCGUCCGUACGUCCGCCGGUCCGUCGGUCCGUCGGUCCGGCAUCCACAAUUGCUUGUGGACGCUCUAGAGGCUAAAGUUAAUAUCCGAUUGACAGUGUUUAGGGUCAUGAGACGAAGAAUCCUAUUGAUUUUCAGCGAUUUCCGAUAAUUACUGGCAGAGUUAUGGCCCUGGAUCACUUCACAAAAUCUUGUGGACGCUCUAGAGGCCAAAAGUAAAUUCAUACAUAGUGUUUAAGGUCAUGAGACGAAGAAGCCUAUUGAUUUUUAGCAAUUUCUUAUAAUUACUGCCAAAGUUAUGGCCCUUGAUCACUUUGCAAAAUCUUGUGACGCUCUAAAGGCUAAAGUUAUCAUCCGAUUGACUUCAGAUUAACACACAGAGUUUAAGAUCUUGAGACGAACAAGUAUAUUGAUUUUCAAUGAAUUUUUAUGACUUGGAACAGCUAAAUCCAUGAUAUUAAAAGUUUUGUAUACAAACCAAACAAAUUCUAAUGGUUUUCUGAGUUGUUGCUCUUAAUCAGAUUUUAGUGUAUUAUAAAUGUUUCAUUACCGAAAAAAGUAAAAAUAUGCGACAACUCUUAUUGACUGCCGGACGAUUUAGCUGCUGUGGGCGUAUGUUUCGCUGCCUGGCAACCUAUCUUUUUAAUAUCCGUCCUUUUAUAUUUUGGGGUAUCAUUUCUUUGUGCUCAAUAUCAUUUUCUUUUUUUUAAUAUCUGGCCUUUUAUAUUUUGGGGUAUCAAGGUGUAAUUUUAUUUUCUUAUUCUCUGUAACUUGAAUCUAUUAACCACUUUUAUCUUUUAGAAUAAAACUCUUUGAUAAAGUUUA
This is a long non-coding RNA of Patella vulgata (common limpet), 1861 nucleotides long. RefSeq lists it as uncharacterized. The transcript is spliced from 4 exons. NCBI's taxonomy places the organism in Eukaryota, Metazoa, Mollusca, Gastropoda, Patellidae. The record is from RefSeq and is a predicted model, not a curated record.